RNAcentral lists this ribosomal RNA (253 nucleotides) under uncultured bacterium. Its description in RNAcentral is "partial 16S ribosomal RNA". It matches the Rfam family "Bacterial small subunit ribosomal RNA", at positions 524 to 776 of the family's 1533-position model. The record is from RNAcentral.
UACGUAGGGUGCAAGCGUUGUCCGGAAUUAUUGGGCGUAAAGAGCUCGUAGGCGGUUUGUCGCGUCUGCUGUGAAAACCCGAGGCUCAACCUCGGGCCUGCAGUGGGUACGGGCAGACUAGAGUGCGGUAGGGGAGAUUGGAAUUCCUGGUGUAGCGGUGGAAUGCGCAGAUAUCAGGAGGAACACCAAUGGCGAAGGCAGAUCUCUGGGCCGUAACUGACGCUGAGGAGCGAAGGCAUGGGGAGCGAACAGG